GAAACGUGACCGAGUGGCCGAAGGUGCUCCCCUGCUAAGGGAGUAUGGGGUGUAGAGCCUCAUCGAGGGUUCGAAUCCCUCCGUUUCCGCCA
RNAcentral lists this transfer RNA (92 nucleotides) under Curvibacter sp. RNAcentral describes it as "tRNA-Ser". It matches the Rfam family "tRNA". Rfam says of the family: Transfer RNA (tRNA) molecules are approximately 80 nucleotides in length. Their secondary structure includes four short double-helical elements and three loops (D, anti-codon, and T loops). Further hydrogen bonds mediate the characteristic L-shaped molecular structure. tRNAs have two regions of fundamental functional importance: the anti-codon, which is responsible for specific mRNA codon recognition, and the 3' end, to which the tRNAs corresponding amino acid is attached (by aminoacyl-tRNA synthetases). tRNAs cope with the degeneracy of the genetic code in two manners: having more than one tRNA (with a specific anti-codon) for a particular amino acid; and 'wobble' base-pairing, i.e. permitting non-standard base-pairing at the 3rd anti-codon position. The record is from RNAcentral. Lineage: Bacteria; Pseudomonadati; Pseudomonadota; Betaproteobacteria; Burkholderiales; Comamonadaceae.